This 253-nucleotide ribosomal RNA is filed under the name uncultured bacterium. Its description in RNAcentral is "partial 16S ribosomal RNA". It matches the Rfam family "Bacterial small subunit ribosomal RNA", at positions 524 to 776 of the family's 1533-position model. The record is from RNAcentral.
UACAGAGGGUGCAAGCGUUGUUCGGAAUUACUGGGCGUAAAGCGCGUGUAGGUGGUGGCAUAAGUCGGAUGUGAAAUCCCUCGGCUUAACCGGGGAAGUGCAUCCGAUACUGCGUCACUUGAGUACUGGAGGGGAUGGCGGAAUUCCCGGUGUAGAGGUGAAAUUCGUAGAUAUCGGGAGGAACACCUGUGGCGAAGGCGGCCAUCUGGACAGUCACUGACACUGAGACGCGAAAGCGUGGGUAGCAAACAGG